CAGUCGCCACGGUAAUACGAAGGGGGCUAGCGUUGUUCGGAUUUACUGGGCGUAAAGCGCACGUAGGCGGACUUUUAAGUCAGGGGUGAAAUCCCGGGGCUCAACCCCGGAACUGCCUUUGAUACUGGGAGUCUUGAGUUCGAGAGAGGUGAGUGGAAUUGCGAGUGUAGAGGUGAAAUUCGUAGAUAUUCGCAGGAGCACCAGUGGCGAAGGCGGCUCACUGGCUCGAUACUGACGCUGAGGUGCGAAAGCGUGGGGAGCAAACAGGAUUAGAGACCCGCGUAGUCCCUGUCUCUUAUAA
RNAcentral lists this ribosomal RNA (301 nucleotides) under uncultured bacterium. Its description in RNAcentral is "partial 16S ribosomal RNA". It matches the Rfam family "Bacterial small subunit ribosomal RNA", at positions 509 to 809 of the family's 1533-position model. The record is from RNAcentral.